GAGAAAUUGAGAGGGCAGGGACGGUUCAACUGCACGCCUCGCAAUGGCCACCACCGCGGCGCCACGACUGACCACCAUCGCAGCGCCACGAAAGCCACCACCACCUACGCGACGAGCAAAUCCCCACUGCCGGCCCCGCAACUAGCCGCCACCGCGCACGGUACCACGACCAGCCACCGCCGCGGCGCCACGAGAAGCCACCGCCACGAACGACGCCUCUCUUGGAAAAAUGCCACGAUGAGGAGGUGUUAGACGAGCGAGCCGUGAAAAUUCAUCACAACCACAACCACAAACACCUCUAUCAAAGCAAGGGGAAGUUAGAGAUUCACAAUCAAGUCUUGCAUCACAACAAAGAAUCUCGAGCAACCGAAUAUUGCUGAAAGUGGAUAGAGACAGGUAAAUUUAUUUAAUAUUUGAAACAUAUAUUAUUGUGAAAGAAUAUUAAUUAUAGUUUAUUGAACAGUUUUAAUCCUUUGAAUGCUUCGAGAAAUUUGGUUAUAAUAUUCAAGAAAUCAUUUAGCGGUCCUUGGCCUACAUGGAACAGUGUCCCAAAUCAUGUCAGAGAUCGUUGGUUUGGGGAAUUUCAGGAUAAAUUGUCGACAAUCAUCAAGCGAGGCGUUAUGCCGAUGGAGAAGGAAUGAGGAUCAACAAUAAACGACGAGGAAGAAGAUGAUGCUAAUGGAGAUGAGGCCUUCAUGGAAAUGGUGCAUGCUCUACCUAAAGAAGUUGUUGAUAAUGCUUGGCUCGAGGCAACUGGAGGACCAAUUAAAGGAAGAGUUAAUGGUCUCGGAUCAGAGUCUGCUAAUGUUAUACAUCAUGUUAACUUUAUUUCUAAUGCUUCAACGAGUUCUUCAUCAACACCACCAACGUCUUCUCAAAACAUGGUUGAUAGUCCUACUUUCGAAGAAGUUGUUAAUCGAUUAGUGGAGCAAAAGAUUGCAGAUAUGCGUGCAUCUUUGGAAGAGCAACUACAAGCCGGUAUCCAAGCUGCCAUUCAGGCCGUGCACCAAAGUGAACCAAGAGGAUCUACUAGAGAUACACGGUCAGCAACAUAGUUAUGGGAUAAGAUUAAAAUUAAUAUUUUUAGAAGAACGUUAUUUUUUUCUAGAACCUGAUGUUGCACAUUCUAUUGAUAUUGUUUAGCUUAAAAUAUUUUUUGAUAACUAGUUUUCAGUCUUGCACUUUAGUAUUGUAUCAAAUGUUUAUUUUAUGAGCAUAUUUGGAUGUUUUGUUUUUGGUAAA
Erythranthe guttata (spotted monkey flower) is the source of this 1242-nucleotide non-coding RNA. The record is from RefSeq and is a predicted model, not a curated record. NCBI's taxonomy places the organism in Eukaryota, Viridiplantae, Streptophyta, Magnoliopsida, Lamiales, Phrymaceae.